Molecule: ribosomal RNA, 287 nt
Filed under: uncultured bacterium
Lineage: Bacteria
Description: partial 16S ribosomal RNA
Rfam family: Bacterial small subunit ribosomal RNA
Source: RNAcentral
UACAGAGACUGCGAGCGUUAUUCGGAUUCACUGGGCGUAAAGGGUGCGCAGGCGGCCAGGUGUGUGGGGCGUGAAAGCCCGGGGCUCAACUCCGGAAUUGCCUUUAAGACUGCAUCGCUAGAAUUGUGGAGAGGUAAGUGGAAUUCCGAGUGUAGGGGUGAAAUUCGUAGAUAUUCGGAAGAACACCAGUGGCGAAGGCGACUUACUGGACACAUAUUGACGCUGAGGUGCGAAAAGCGUGGGGAGCAAACAGGGAUUAAGAAACCCGGAGUAACGUCCAGAACCAA